This 542-nucleotide ribosomal RNA is filed under the name Buccinum pulchellum. Its description in RNAcentral is "partial small subunit ribosomal RNA". Lineage: Eukaryota; Metazoa; Mollusca; Gastropoda; Neogastropoda; Buccinidae. The record is from RNAcentral.
GACCAAGAGAUUUAGUUAUAUUAGUAGGUAAAAAGAUAGUUAAGUAUGUUAAAAGUUUAAUGAUCCUUUAUAAAAAAGUAAAAUUUGGAUAUAAAGGACUAAUUUUAUUUAAGCUGAUUAUAUUGAAGCUAUGAUAAUUUUGAGGGAAACUGGGAUUAGAUACCCCAUUAUUCAUAAAUUGUAAAUUAAUGAGAAUUUACCAGAGUAGUAUGAAUAUAUAAAAAUUUAAAACUCAAAGGGCUUGGCGGUGUUUUAGACCAAUUAGGGGAACCUGUCUCAUAAUCGACAAUCCACGUUAUACCUAACCUUUUUUGGUAAACAGUUUGUAUACCGUCGUCGUCAGGUAACUUUUAAAAAUGUAGAAGUUAGCAUCGAUAAUAAUUUGAUUAAGACGUCAGAUCAAGGUGCAGCUUAUAAGAAGGAGAGGAUGGGUUACAAUUAUAAAAUAAUAAUUACGGAUGAUUUAAUGGAAAAAGUUUUAAGGAGGACUUAAAAGUAAUGUUGUAAUAUACAAACAAUUUGAAUUAGGCUCUGAAACGUGC